Molecule: ribosomal RNA, 468 nt
Filed under: uncultured bacterium
Lineage: Bacteria
Description: partial 16S ribosomal RNA
Rfam family: Bacterial small subunit ribosomal RNA
Source: RNAcentral
GACGAACGCUGGCGGCGUGCUUAACACAUGCAAGUCGAACGGAAAGGCCCUGCUUUUGUGGGGUGCUCGAGUGGCGAACGGGUGAGUAACACGUGAGUAACCUGCCCUUGACUUUGGGGUAACUUUAGGAAACUGGGGCGAUUACCGGAUAGAAGCUCCUGCAGCAUGGUGGGGGUUGGAAAGUUUCGGCCGUUGGGGCUGGACUCGCGGCUUCUCAGCUUGUUGGUGGGGUAGUGGCUUACAAAGCUUUUGACGGGUAGCCGGCCUGAGAGGGUGACCGGCGUCAUUGCGCCUGCGAGACGCCGCAGACGCCUACGUGACGCAGUAGUGGGGAAUCUUACGCAAUGGGCCGACGCCUGAUGUAGCAACGCCGCGUGCGGGAUGCCGGCCUACGAGUUGUAAACAGAUUUCGCCUGUGCCGAAGAGUGAGUGACGGUAAUGGGUCAAGAAGCACCGGCUAACUACGUG